UACGUAGGGUGCGAGCGUUGUCCGGAAUUAUUGGGCGUAAAGAGCUUGUAGGCGGUUUGUCGCGUCCGCUGUGAAAUCUCAAGGCUCAACCUUGAGCUUGCAGUGGGUACGGGCAGACUAGAGUGUGGUAGGGGAGACUGGAAUUCCUGAUGUAGCGGUGAAAUGCGCAGAUAUCAGGAGGAACACCGAUGGCGAAGGCAGGUCUCUGGGCCACUACUGACGCUGAGAAGCGAAAGCAUGGGGAGCGAACAGG
RNAcentral lists this ribosomal RNA (253 nucleotides) under uncultured bacterium. RNAcentral's name for it is "partial 16S ribosomal RNA". It matches the Rfam family "Bacterial small subunit ribosomal RNA", at positions 524 to 776 of the family's 1533-position model. The record is from RNAcentral.